UAGGGAAUCUUCGGCGAUGGACGGAAGUCUGACCGAGCAACGCCGCGUGAGUGAAGAAGGUUUUCGGAUCGUAAAGCUCUGUUGUAAGAGAAGAACGAGUGUGAGAGUGGAAAGUUCACACUGUGACGGUAUCUUACCAGAAAGGGACGGCUAACUACGUGCCAGCAGCCGCGGUAAUACGUAGGUCCCGAGCGUUGUCCGGAUUUAUUGGGCGUAAAGCGAGCGCAGGCGGUUAGAUAAGUCUGAAGUUAAAGGCUGUGGCUUAACCAUAGUAGGCUUUGGAAACUGUUUAACUUGAGUGCAAGAGGGGAGAGUGGAAUUCCAUGUGUAGCGGUGAAAUGCGUAGAUAUAUGGAGGAACACCGGUGGCGAAAGCGGCUCUCUGGCUUGUAACUGACGCUGAGGCUCGAAAGCGUGGGGAGCAAACAGGAUUAGAUACCCUGGUAGUCCACGCUGUAAACGAUGAGUGCUAGGUGUUAGACCCUUUCCGGGGUUUAGUGCCGUAGCUAACGCAUUAAGCACUCCGCCUGGGGAGUACGACCGCAAGGUUG
This 550-nucleotide ribosomal RNA is filed under the name uncultured bacterium. Its description in RNAcentral is "bacterial SSU rRNA". It matches the Rfam family "Bacterial small subunit ribosomal RNA", at positions 355 to 896 of the family's 1533-position model. The record is from RNAcentral.